UGGGGAAUAUUGCACAAUGGGCGCAAGCCUGAUGCAGCCAUGCCGCGUGUGUGAAGAAGGCCUUCGGGUUGUAAAGCACUUUCAGCGAGGAGGAAGGUGGUGAACUUAAUACGUUCAUCAAUUGACGUUACUCGCAGAAGAAGCACCGGCUAACUCCGUGCCAGCAGCCGCGGUAAUACGGAGGGUGCAAGCGUCAAUCGGAAUUACUGGGCGUAAAGCGCACGCAGGCGGUUUGUUAAGUCAGAUGUGAAAUCCCCGGGCUCAACCUGGGAACUGCAUUUGAAACUGGCAAGCUAGAGUCUCGUAGAGGGGGGUAGAAUUCCAGGUGUAGCGGUGAAAUGCGUAGAGAUCUGGAGGAAUACCGGUGGCGAAGGCGGCCCCCUGGACGAAGACUGACGCUCAGGUGCGAAAGCGUGGGGAGCAAACAGGAUUAGAUACCCUGGUAGUCCACGCUGUAAACGAUGUCGAUUUUGGAGGUUGUGCCCUUGAGGCGUGGCUUCCGGAGCUAACG
RNAcentral lists this ribosomal RNA (511 nucleotides) under uncultured bacterium. RNAcentral's name for it is "partial 16S ribosomal RNA". It matches the Rfam family "Bacterial small subunit ribosomal RNA", at positions 355 to 857 of the family's 1533-position model. The record is from RNAcentral.